GUCUACGACCAUACCACCCUGAAUGCACCCAAUCUCGUCUGAUCUUGGAAGCUAAGCAGGGUUGGGCCUGGUUAGUACUUGGAUGGGAGAAAUCUGCAUGCAUGUGAAUGUGACAUGUUUCUUAAGUG
Molecule: non-coding RNA, 128 nt
Organism: Pongo abelii (Sumatran orangutan)
Lineage: Eukaryota; Metazoa; Chordata; Mammalia; Primates; Hominidae
Source: Rfam